RNAcentral lists this ribosomal RNA (378 nucleotides) under Triticum aestivum (bread wheat). Its description in RNAcentral is "partial small subunit ribosomal RNA". The record is from RNAcentral. Lineage: Eukaryota; Viridiplantae; Streptophyta; Magnoliopsida; Poales; Poaceae.
AUGUUCACGGAUCAUCAUGGAAGUAGUGGUACUUUCAGUCCUCGAUGGCGAGACGGGGUAGCGGUACUUGACACAUCACCAUGUAGUCGUGCACUUGUCGAAGAGGAUCUUGGCGCAUCCAACAUGAAGCAACACAAAAGGGCCUCGGGUCUUGGUGGUCAACAAAGAGAGGCGGCCCUGGAUGGAGCUGUGAGUAGAGGACAAACAGGGACUUGGCGCCUGGUGCAACCGGCGAUUGACGAGGAGGCGAAGAUGGAGCAGGUCCGGCAAGGGGAGGUGCAGGGUGGCAGAGCAGGGAACUUGGCGCGGCGGUGGCCUGUCCUUGUAGAGGAGGUCGAGGCAGAGGUGGGACAUGGCGCCAGCGGGACUUGGCGCUAA